CAGUAGCCACGGGAAUACGAAGGGUGCAAGCGUUACUCGGAAUUACUGGGCGUAAAGCGUGCGUAGGUGGUGGUUUAAGUCCGUUGUGAAAGCCCUGGGCUCAACCUGGGAAUUGCAGUGGAUACUGGGUCACUAGAGUGUGGUAGAGGAUAGUGGAAUUUCCGGUGUAGCGGUGAAAUGCGUAGAGAUCGGGAGGAACAUCAGUGGCGAAGGCGGCCAUCUGGGACAACACUGACGCUGAGGCACGAAAGCGUGGGGAGCAAACAGGAUUAGAUACCCGCGUAGUCCCUGUCUCUUAUAC
RNAcentral lists this ribosomal RNA (301 nucleotides) under uncultured bacterium. RNAcentral describes it as "partial 16S ribosomal RNA". It matches the Rfam family "Bacterial small subunit ribosomal RNA", at positions 509 to 807 of the family's 1533-position model. The record is from RNAcentral.